RNAcentral lists this ribosomal RNA (28 nucleotides) under Opuntia robusta (nopal tapon). RNAcentral describes it as "partial 18S ribosomal RNA". The record is from RNAcentral. Lineage: Eukaryota; Viridiplantae; Streptophyta; Magnoliopsida; Caryophyllales; Cactaceae.
UUUUCCCUUGGGGUACUUGCGGAAGGAU